Molecule: ribosomal RNA, 239 nt
Filed under: uncultured bacterium
Lineage: Bacteria
Description: partial 16S ribosomal RNA
Rfam family: Bacterial small subunit ribosomal RNA
Source: RNAcentral
UGAGUAACGCGUGGAUAAUCUACCCUUAAGAUGAGGAUAACGGCUGGAAACGGUCGCUAAUACCGAAUACGCUCCCGAUUUUAUCGUUGGGGGGAAAGAUGGCCUCUGCUUGCAAGCUAUCGCUUAAGGAUGGGUCCGCGUCCCAUUAGCUAGUUGGCGGGGUAACGGCCCACCAAGGCAACGAUGGGUAGCCGGUCUGAGAGGAUGACCGGCCACACUGGAACUGGAACACGGCCCAG